ACGCUGGCGGCAUGCUUUACACAUGCAAGUCGGACGGCAGCACAGAGAAGCUUGCUUCUUGGGUGGCGAGCGGCGAACGGGUGAGUAAUAUAUCGGAACGUACCGAGUAAUGGGGGAUAACUAAUCGAAAGAUUAGCUAAUACCGCAUAUUCUCUGAGGAGGAAAGCAGGGGACCUUCGGGCCUUGCGUUAUUCGAGCGGCCGAUAUCUGAUUAGCUAGUUGGUGGGGUAAAGGCCUACCAAGGCGACGAUCAGUAGCGGGUCUGAGAGGAUGAUCCGCCACACUGGGACUGAGACACGGCCCAGACUCCUACGGGAGGCAGCAGUGGGGAAUUUUGGACAAUGGGCGCAAGCCUGAUCCAGCCAUGCCGCGUGUCUGAAGAAGGCCUUCGGGUUGUAAAGGACUGUUGUCAGGGAAGAAAAGGCUGUUGCUAAUACCGACAGCUGAUGACGGUACCUGAAGAAUAAGCACCGGCUAACUACGUGCCAGCAGCCGCGGUAAUACGUAGGGUGCGAGCGUUAAUCGGAAUUACUGGGCGUAAAGCGAGCGCAGACGGUUACUUAAGCAGGAUGUGAAAUCCCCGGGCUCAACCUGGGAACUGCGUUCUGAACUGGGUGACUAGAGUGUGUCAGAGGGAGGUAGAAUUCCACGUGUAGCAGUGAAAUGCGUAGAGAUGUGGAGGAAUACCGAUGGCGAAGGCAGCCUCCUGGGAUAACACUGACGUUCAUGCCCGAAAGCGUGGGUAGCAAACAGGAUUAGAUACCCUGGUAGUCCACGCCCUAAACGAUGUCAAUUAGCUGUUGGGCAACUUGAUUGCUUAGUAGCGUAGCUAACGCGUGAAAUUGACCGCCUGGGGAGUACGGUCGCAAGAUUAAAACUCAAAGGAAUUGACGGGGACCCGCACAAGCGGUGGAUGAUGUGGAU
Molecule: ribosomal RNA, 924 nt
Filed under: uncultured bacterium
Lineage: Bacteria
Description: bacterial SSU rRNA
Rfam family: Bacterial small subunit ribosomal RNA
Source: RNAcentral